Nothoprocta perdicaria is the source of this 135-nucleotide small nucleolar RNA. The record is from Ensembl. Lineage: Eukaryota; Metazoa; Chordata; Aves; Tinamiformes; Tinamidae.
AACCAAAGUGUUGAGUUCAGGUCAGGGUGAUUGCCCCUGUUCUGGUAAUUAAACUUUGGAACAGUGAAUGGCUGGGAAACAUGCCAUGGUGGCUGGAAGCUUUCUUAAGUCACCUGUGUUUUUCAGCCUACAAGC